GUGAGGACUCGGAGGAAACACGCUUUCAGGAUGACAGUCAAGCAAGUAUGUCAUACGGAGCUACCUGAAUAUUCUGCGUGUAUACUGUACGGGUUUGGGGGACUUCGCCGUCGCCGUCGUCUAGGGUACCCGAGCGUGUAUGACUUCUGCACUAACUAGAAAAG
Penaeus chinensis is the source of this 164-nucleotide long non-coding RNA. RefSeq lists it as uncharacterized. The transcript is spliced from 3 exons. NCBI's taxonomy places the organism in Eukaryota, Metazoa, Arthropoda, Malacostraca, Decapoda, Penaeidae. The record is from RefSeq and is a predicted model, not a curated record.